Molecule: ribosomal RNA, 1483 nt
Filed under: uncultured bacterium
Lineage: Bacteria
Description: 16S ribosomal RNA
Rfam family: Bacterial small subunit ribosomal RNA
Source: RNAcentral
UUAGAGUUUGAUCCUGGCUCAGGAUGAACGCUAGCGGCAGGCUUAACACAUGCAAGUCGAGGGGUAACGGGGAAGCUUGCUUCCGCCGACGACCGGCGCACGGGUGCGUAACGCGUAUACAAUCUACCUUGUACUGGGGUAUAGCCUUUAGAAAUGAAGAUUAAUCCCCCAUAGUCUCUUAGAGUGGCAUCACUUCUAGAGUAAAGGUUACGGUAUAAGAUGAGUAUGCGUUCUAUUAGUUUGUUGGUGUGGUAACGGCACACCAAGACUACGAUAGAUAGGGGCCCUGAGAGGGGGAUCCCCCACACUGGUACUGAGACACGGACCAGACUCCUACGGGAGGCAGCAGUGAGGAAUAUUGGACAAUGGAGGCAACUCUGAUCCAGCCAUGCCGCGUGCAGGAAGACUGCCCUAUGGGUUGUAAACUGCUUUUAUACAGGAAGAAACACCUCUACGUGUAGAGGCUUGACGGUACUGUAAGAAUAAGGAUCGGCUAACUCCGUGCCAGCAGCCGCGGUAAUACGGAGGAUCCAAGCGUUAUCCGGAAUCAUUGGGUUUAAAGGGUCCGUAGGUGGAUAAUUAAGUCAGAGGUGAAAUCUUGCAGCUCAACUGUAAAAUUGCCUUUGAAACUGGUUAUCUUGAGUUAUUAUGAAGUAGUUAGAAUAUGUAGUGUAGCGGUGAAAUGCAUAGAUAUUACAUAGAAUACCAAUUGCGAAGGCAGAUUACUAAUAAUCAACUGACACUGAUGGACGAAAGCGUGGGUAGCGAACAGGAUUAGAUACUCUGGUAGUCCACGCCGUAAACGAUGGUUACUAGCUGUUUGGACUUCGGUCUGAGUGGCUAAGCGAAAGUGAUAAGUAACCCACCUGGGGAGUACGUUCGCAAGAAUGAAACUCAAAGGAAUUGACGGGGGCCCGCACAAGCGGUGGAGCAUGUGGUUUAAUUCGAUGAUACGCGAGGAACCUUACCAGGGCUUAAAUGUAAGUUGCAUUAGUUAGAGAUAGCUAUUUCUUCGGACCACUUACAAGGUGCUGCAUGGUUGUCGUCAGCUCGUGCCGUGAGGUGUCAGGUUAAGUCCUAUAACGAGCGCAACCCCUGUUGUUAGUUGCCAGCGAGUCAUGUCGGGAACUCUAACAAGACUGCCAGUGCAAACUGUGAGGAAGGUGGGGAUGACGUCAAAUCAUCACGGCCCUUACGUCCUGGGCUACACACGUGCUACAAUGGUAGGUACAGAGAGCAGCCACUGCGCGAGCAGGAGCGAAUCUAUAAAACCUAUCACAGUUCGGAUCGGAGUCUGCAACUCGACUCCGUGAAGCUGGAAUCGCUAGUAAUCGGAUAUCAGCCAUGAUCCGGUGAAUACGUUCCCGGGCCUUGUACACACCGCCCGUCAAGCCAUGGAAGUUGGAAGUGCCUGAAGUCCGUCACCGCAAGGAGCGGCCUAGGGUAAAGUCGAUAACUAGGGCUAAGUCGUAACAAGGUAACC